RNAcentral lists this unclassified non-coding RNA (1616 nucleotides) under uncultured Agaricales. Its description in RNAcentral is "sequence contains 18S rRNA gene, ITS1, 5.8S rRNA gene, ITS2, 28S rRNA gene". The stretch from base 617 to 1616 matches the Rfam family "Eukaryotic large subunit ribosomal RNA", at positions 1 to 961 of the family's 3401-position model. Lineage: Eukaryota; Fungi; Basidiomycota; Agaricomycetes; Agaricales. The record is from RNAcentral.
GGAAGGAUCAUUACUGAAUUGAACUGGUGGAGAUGUUGCUGGCCCCCCCUCUCCCGGGGGGCAAAACGUGCACUCUCCCCUAUUCACAAUUUCCUUCAUAAACCCCUUGUGCACACAAUGUAGGCAACCCUCCCUCGUUGUAGGGUUUGUUCCUAUGUAUUUCCACUCACAAAAACCGUGUCUUGGAAUGUCUAUUAAUACACUGUUAUUAAAUGAAAACAACUUUCAACAAUGGAUCUCUUGGCUCUCGCAUCGAUGAAGAACGCAGCGAAAUGCGAUACGUAAUGUGAAUUGCAGAAUUCCGUGAAUCAUCGAAUCUUUGAACGCACCUUGCGCCUCUUGGUAUUCCGAGGGGCAUGCCUGUUUGAGUGUCAUUGUAAUUCUCGAGGAAAAAGAAAGGAAACCUUUUGCAAAAGGGGUAGCCCUCUUUAUUUUUCGGAAAUGGAGAUGGUGCUGGCUUGUUGCUAUCAGGUCAGCUUCUCUGAAAAGCAUUAGCAAAAAGCUUGGCUGCUUUUGCCUUGGCAUUGAUAAGUUAGAUUCAUGCCUUUGAGAAGCAUCGGUGGCUUAGCCUUUAGCUUAUUAAAUAGUUCUCCUUUUUGGAGACGUUCUCAACUUUUGACCUCAAAUCAGGUAGGAUUACCCGCUGAACUUAAGCAUAUCAAUAAGCGGAGGAAAAGAAACUAACAAGGAUUCCCCUAGUAACUGCGAGUGAAGCGGGAAAAGCUCAAAUUUAAAAUCUGGCGGUCAUUUGGCUGUCCGAAUUGUAAUCUAGAGAAGUGCUUUCUGCGCUGGACCGUGUACAAGUCUCUUGGAAUGGAGCAUCAUAGAGGGUGAGAAUCCCGUCUCUGACAUGGACUACCAGUGCUUCCCAUGAUGCACUCUCGAAGAGUCGAGUUGUUUGGGAAUGCAGCUCAAAAUGGGUGGUAAAUUCCAUCUAAAGCUAAAUACAGGCGAGAGACCGAUAGCGAACAAGUACCGUGAGGGAAAGAUGAAAAGAACUUUGAAAAGAGAGUUAAACAGUACGUGAAAUUGUUGAAAGGGAAACGUUUCAAGUCAGUCGCGUCGGCUGGCAAUCAACCUUUGCAAUUCUAUUGCUGGGCUUACUUUCCAGUCGAUGGGUCAGCAUCAAUUUUGACCGUUGGAUAAAGUUGAGAGGAAUGUGGCAUCCUUGGAUGUGUUAUAGCCUCUCACCGCAUACGGCGGUUGGGAUUGAGGGACUCAGCAUGGCCCUCCCCAAGGGUUUUCGGGGCUUUUUUUGCCCACGUAACAUGCUUAGGAUGCUGGCGUAAUGGCUUGAACCGACCCGUCUUGAAACACGGACCAAGGAGUCUAACAUGCCUGCAAGUGUUUGGGUGGAAAACCCAAGCGCGAAGUGAAAGUGAACGUUGUCGAGAUCCCUGUCAUGGGGAGCACCGACGCCCGGACCAGACCUUCUGUGACGGAUCUGAGGUUGAGCAUGUAUGUUGGGACCCGAAAGAUGGUGAACUAUGCCUGAAUAGGGCGAAGCCAGAGGAAACUCUGGUGGAGGCUCGUAGCGAUUCUGACGUGCAAAUCGAUCGUCGAAUUUGGGUAUAGGGGCGAAAGACUAAUCGAACCAUCUAGUAGCUGGUUCCUGC